RNAcentral lists this transfer RNA (85 nucleotides) under Rhizobacter gummiphilus. Its description in RNAcentral is "tRNA-Leu". Lineage: Bacteria; Pseudomonadati; Pseudomonadota; Betaproteobacteria; Burkholderiales; Sphaerotilaceae. RNAcentral also lists the same sequence under 1 other name. The record is from RNAcentral.
CCCCUCGUGGCGGAAUUGGCAGACGCAGCGGUCUCAGAAGCCGUGGCCACAAGGCAUGUCCGUUCGACUCGGACCGAGGGGACCA